Molecule: ribosomal RNA, 522 nt
Filed under: Niastella populi
Lineage: Bacteria; Pseudomonadati; Bacteroidota; Chitinophagia; Chitinophagales; Chitinophagaceae
Description: bacterial SSU rRNA
Rfam family: Bacterial small subunit ribosomal RNA
Source: RNAcentral
UCUGACCAGCCAUGCCGCGUGGAGGAUGAAGGUCCUCUGGAUUGUAAACUUCUUUUAUCGGAGAAAAAACCCAGACAUUCCUGUUUGGUUGACGGUACCCGAUGAAUAAGCACCGGCUAACUCCGUGCCAGCAGCCGCGGUAAUACGGAGGGUGCAAGCGUUAUCCGGAUUCACUGGGUUUAAAGGGUGCGUAGGUGGGUUGGUAAGUCAGUGGUGAAAUCUCCGGGCUUAACUCGGAAACUGCCGUUGAUACUAUCAAUCUUGAAUAUUGUGGAGGUAAGCGGAAUAUGUCAUGUAGCGGUGAAAUGCUUAGAUAUGACAUAGAACACCGAUAGCGAAGGCAGCUUGCUACACAAUAAUUGACACUGAGGCACGAAAGCGUGGGGAUCAAACAGGAUUAGAUACCCUGGUAGUCCACGCCCUAAACGAUGGAUACUCGACAUACGCGAUACACAGUGUGUGUCUGAGCGAAAGCAUUAAGUAUCCCACCUGGGAAGUACGACCGGAAGGUUGAAACUCAAG